UGAUUUGGGCUACACACGUGCUACAAUGGCGUAAACAAAGGGAAGCGAGAUUGUGAGAUGGAGCAAAUCCCAAAAAUAACGUCCCAGUUCGGACUGUAGUCUGCAACCCGACUACACGAAGCUGGAAUCGCUAGUAAUCGCGGAUCAGAAUGCCGCGGUGAAUACGUUCCCGGGUCUUGUACACACCGCCCGUCACACCAUGGGAGUCAGUAACGCCCGAAGUCAGUGACCUAACUGCAAAGAAGGAGCUGCCGAAGGCGGGACCGAUGACUGGGGUGAAGUCGUAACAAGGUAGCCGUAUCGGAAGGUGCGGCUGGAUCACCUCCUUUCUAAGGAA
RNAcentral lists this ribosomal RNA (337 nucleotides) under Ruminococcus sp. AF31-16BH. Its description in RNAcentral is "bacterial SSU rRNA". It matches the Rfam family "Bacterial small subunit ribosomal RNA", at positions 1205 to 1533 of the family's 1533-position model. The record is from RNAcentral. Lineage: Bacteria; Bacillati; Bacillota; Clostridia; Eubacteriales; Oscillospiraceae.